ACGAGGGUGACAGGUGGUGCAUGGUUGUCGUCAGCUCGUGUCGUGAGAUGUUGGGUUAAGUCCCGCAACGAGCGCAACCCUCGACCUUAGUUGCCAGCAUUCAGUUGGGCACUCUAAGGUGACUGCCGGCUAAAAGUCGGAGGAAGGUGGGAUGACGUCAAAUCAUCAUGCCCCUUAUGACCUGGGCUACACACGUGCUACAAUGGGCGGUACAAAGGGUCGCGAACCCGCGAGGGGGAGCCAAUCCCAAAAAGCCGCUCUCAGUUCGGAUUGCAGGCUGCAACUCGCCUGCAUGAAGCCGGAAUCGCUAGUAAUCGCGGAUCAGCAUGCCGCGGUGAAUACGUUCCCGGGCCUU
RNAcentral lists this ribosomal RNA (355 nucleotides) under uncultured Anoxybacillus sp. RNAcentral's name for it is "bacterial SSU rRNA". It matches the Rfam family "Bacterial small subunit ribosomal RNA", at positions 1025 to 1382 of the family's 1533-position model. Lineage: Bacteria; Bacillati; Bacillota; Bacilli; Caryophanales; Anoxybacillaceae. The record is from RNAcentral.